AGGAGGAGGAGGAGGAGGAGAGGGGGUUAUUAUUCAAGAGUGCUGCAGUCAGACGGGCUGCGAGAGGGAAAAAGGAGAAGGAGGUGGGAAAUCAGUCAAUCAGAGGCUUAUGCGGUUCACAUUUUUUGUUCUUCUCUUUUCUCUUUUUGUGUGUUUUGCAGGAGCGAAGGGAUCGGAGCAGAGAGGAGAAGAGAGGAGAUGGAUGGAGCGGUGGAGAGGAGGAGAUGAGCGCCUUAAGGUACGACUACACCCCUACUUCUAACAUGAUUUAUCUCCAUGAUUGUAUAAGCUCCUUCAAAUGACAAGAUCUCUAUCUAUCUAUCUAUCUAUCUAUCUAUCUAUCUAUCUAUCUAUCUAUCUGUUUAUUUAUUCAUGUGAGAUGAGUCCCGGGCAGAGUGUAGUGGCAGCGUGGCGCAGCGCCCGGCGCUCCUGUCCAUACAGCUGACACCCAUGGGAGAAAAGGGAGUCGCACCUGAAACCCGACAGUGUUCGGCCUCACCGGAAGCCUCACCUCUGGUUUCCUCUUGCAACAGACUCUGUGAAUGCUGGGAAUGCCUCCCGUGCUGAGGAGUUAGUGUUUGAUGUGUCGCCCCCAUCUGGUCAUAAAAGUAACUACACUGCAUUCAGAAGAUGGGUAGGUGAUGGUGCUCAGGUGAGGCCUGCUCGCUCUGUUUCCUCAUUUUAAUAAUGUUUCAUAGAUUUUCCAGCAGUGUGGCACAUCGCCACCCUCACUGAUCAAUAACUUUGGCCUGUUUGGAUCACAGACACCUGUUUGUUCUGCAGCAGCACUGAUGCAAAACUAACACUGAUGCAAAUCUGAUACUGGCAAGAAAGCUAAUAUAUUUCUCUUUUAGAGAACAAAUGAAAACUCAUUUAUCUCAUAAUAGGCCUGUGAAACCUGUGAUUUUUAAUUUUCUUUCAUUAAAAUUCAGAUUAGUGGGCAAAGUAGGACAUUAAAGGUUCAUGAUAAUAAUACUUUAGUCAGUGUUUCUAAAGAUGAUUUACUCCAACGGAAGAAAAUCCAGACCCUAACCUGUAAUUGAGGGGGCAGAAUUUCCACUGGGGGUCACUUUUAAAAUACAAUUUAUUUCCUCUCACUUUUAUUUAUUCCGAUUAAUUUACUCAUUUUCCCAGUCUCUCUAAACAGCUUCUUCUGACUGUCUAGCUGCUAAAAUUCAGAUGAGACAAAAGAGAAGGUGAUAAAAAAGUGUGACGUGCCCUUCAGUUAUUAUAGUGUGCUCAUGCAAACCAGUAACCUUAAGAAGCAGGUGACUUAUUGAUCGUCUUUGUUUUGACCUGCGUUUUACCUUUAGGCUACAUACAGGCUACUGCCCAAACCCCUCAGAGGCAGAAGUUCUUCCUGCAGCCCGAGAUAAAGACUGCAGACACCAGUCAAGGCUGAAAAUACUUCAGACUUUCCCUCUUUAGUGAAGAUGCACAUUGAAUAUCUACCAUUAUACCAUUGUCUGAGUGAAUAUUCGAUUCUGCAGGGUGUCCAUAAAUUCCUGAUGUGAGUUUGAGUGAAACAGUCUGUUCUAAAUCAAAUCACUGAAAUAAAUUGAAUGAAAACUGAUUAUGUAAUAAAUACAUCUUACUGUA
Dicentrarchus labrax (European seabass) is the source of this 1599-nucleotide long non-coding RNA. RefSeq lists it as uncharacterized. The record is from RefSeq and is a predicted model, not a curated record. The transcript is spliced from 2 exons. Lineage: Eukaryota; Metazoa; Chordata; Actinopteri; Moronidae.